AAUCAACGCUGGCGGCGUGCCUCAGACAUGCAAGUCGAACGCGAAAUCUUCCUUCGGGGAGAAAGUAGAGUGGCGCACGGGUGAGUAACACGUAGGUAAUCUACCUUCGGAUGGGGAAUAACACCGAGAAAUCGGUGCUAAUACCGCAUAAUGCAGCGGCACCUAAUGGUGACAGUUGAUAAAGCGGGGGAUCGCAAGACCUCGCGUCUGAAGAGGAGCCUGCGGCGGAUUAGCUAGUUGGUAAGGUAACGGCUUACCAAGGCGAUGAUCCGUAGCCGGCCUGAGAGGGCGGUCGGCCACACUGACACUGACAUACGGGUCAGACUCCUACGGGAGGCAGCAGUCGGGAAUUUUGGGCAAUGGGCGAAAGCCUGACCCAGGAACGCCGCGUGAAGGAUGAAAUCCCUCGGGAUGUAAACUUCGCAAGAACGGGAAGAAUAAGUUGGUGUUAACAUCAUCAGCGAUGACGGUACCGUUUGUAAGCUCCGGCUAACUCCGUGCC
RNAcentral lists this ribosomal RNA (502 nucleotides) under uncultured bacterium. RNAcentral describes it as "bacterial SSU rRNA". It matches the Rfam family "Bacterial small subunit ribosomal RNA", at positions 32 to 509 of the family's 1533-position model. The record is from RNAcentral.